UACGGAGGGUGCAAGCGUUGUCCGGAAUCACUGGGCGUAAAGGGUGCGUAGGCGGCCUGACAAGUCUGAUGUGAAAUCCCUGGGCUCAACCCAGGGCCUGCAUCGGAAACUGUCGGGCUUGAGUAUGGGAGAGGUGAGUGGAAUUUCCGGUGUAGCGGUGAAAUGCGUAGAUAUCGGGAGGAACACCUGUGGCGAAAGCGGCUCACUGGACCACAACUGACGCUGAUGCACGAAAGCUAGGGGAGCAAACAGG
Molecule: ribosomal RNA, 253 nt
Filed under: uncultured bacterium
Lineage: Bacteria
Description: partial 16S ribosomal RNA
Rfam family: Bacterial small subunit ribosomal RNA
Source: RNAcentral